This 390-nucleotide ribosomal RNA is filed under the name uncultured Lactobacillales bacterium. RNAcentral describes it as "bacterial SSU rRNA". It matches the Rfam family "Bacterial small subunit ribosomal RNA", at positions 165 to 524 of the family's 1533-position model. The record is from RNAcentral. Lineage: Bacteria; Bacillati; Bacillota; Bacilli; Lactobacillales.
UACCCGGGAUAACAACAGAUGAUGCCUAUCAACUUGUUUAAAAGAUGGGUUCUGCUAUCACUCGUUGGGAUGGGACCCUGCGGUGCAUUAGCUAGUUGGUAGGGGUAACGGGCCUACCGAAGGCGAUGAUGCAUAGCCCGAGUUGAGAGACUGAUCGGGCCACAGUUGGGGACUGAGACACGGGCCCAAAACUCCUACGGGGAGGCAGCAGUAGGGAAUCUUCCACAAUGGACGCAAGUCUGAUGGAGCAACGCCGCGUGAGUGAAGUAAGGGUUUCGGCUACGUAAAAGCUCUGUUGUUGGUGAAGAAGGACAGGGGUAGUAACUGACCUUUGUUUGACGGUAAUCAAUUAGAAGUCACGGCUAACUACGUGCCAGCAGCCGCGGUAAU